UGGACCCUUGUUUGCAUGGUCCUCUGCUUGUGUUGAAGAAUUCUGUUUCUCCAGUUAAAAGGAAGACUGUGUAUCCUCUCCAAGGGCCAGGAUUUUGUAAGACAUGCAUGCACCUGUCACAGGAAGGGCCUUCUGGUUUGCUGAUGGCUUGGAAAAUCAGAACUUCUGCAUUUCAACCAUUCUAGAAUCAGACGUGCUAAGCUGACACAGUAUGCUACCCCUGGGACAUCUCCAGGACCUACACAAGGGACACAACUGGAGCUGACCCCAUGCAGGCUUGAAAAUGGACACCUUUUUCCUAACUUACCAAAAUCCAAACCACAAAAUAUUCAUCAGGGUCAGCAAGUCCCCUUGACCAAAGGGAUCACGCUACAGACCCUGGGAAAGAGCAGACUGGUGGGCCUCAAUAAAUGCCAGUUUCCUGUGCUUUGCCACCAACAAUAACGAAACAUCAAGAAAGCAGAAUAAAGGUGUUAAUAUAGAUGUUCUCAUUCCUGGCAAAUGAAACGCGUUCUAGCAGAGAUACCUCCAGAUCCCUGCUUGCCAUGGGUUCAGGCCGCAGCCCAGCGGGCCCUGCUAAAGAUGUUAAGCAUUUAACACC
This is a long non-coding RNA of Chinchilla lanigera (long-tailed chinchilla), 601 nucleotides long. RefSeq lists it as uncharacterized. Lineage: Eukaryota; Metazoa; Chordata; Mammalia; Rodentia; Chinchillidae. The transcript has 3 exons. The record is from RefSeq and is a predicted model, not a curated record.